UACGUAGGGUGCGAGCGUUGUCCGGAAUUACUGGGCGUAAAGGGCUCGUAGGUGGUUUGUCGCGUCGUCUGUGAAAUUCCGGGGCUUAACUCCGGGCGUGCAGGCGAUACGGGCAUAACUUGAGUACUGUAGGGGUAACUGGAAUUCCUGGUGUAGCGGUGAAAUGCGCAGAUAUCAGGAGGAACACCGAUGGCGAAGGCAGGUUACUGGGCAGUUACUGACGCUGAGGAGCGAAAGCAUGGGUAGCGAA
RNAcentral lists this ribosomal RNA (250 nucleotides) under uncultured bacterium. RNAcentral's name for it is "partial 16S ribosomal RNA". It matches the Rfam family "Bacterial small subunit ribosomal RNA", at positions 524 to 772 of the family's 1533-position model. RNAcentral also lists the same sequence under 2 other names. The record is from RNAcentral.